GUCCGGUGGGCAUCUUCUUGUAAAAUCCUUAAACCUCUCCCACGCUUCGUAGAGAGUCUCACCAUCUUGUUGCCUAAAAGUUUGUACCUCAGCUUUCAGCCU
This is a small nucleolar RNA of Arachis duranensis, 102 nucleotides long. NCBI's taxonomy places the organism in Eukaryota, Viridiplantae, Streptophyta, Magnoliopsida, Fabales, Fabaceae. The record is from RefSeq and is a predicted model, not a curated record.